This 486-nucleotide ribosomal RNA is filed under the name uncultured bacterium. RNAcentral's name for it is "partial 16S ribosomal RNA". It matches the Rfam family "Bacterial small subunit ribosomal RNA", at positions 28 to 507 of the family's 1533-position model. The record is from RNAcentral.
AUUGAACGCUGGCGGCAUGCCUUACACAUGCAAGUCGAACGGCAGCACGGGUGCUUGCACCUGGUGGCGAGUGGCGAACGGGUGAGUAAUACAUCGGAACAUGUCCUGUAGUGGGGGAUAGCCCGGCGAAAGCCGGAUUAAUACCGCAUACGAUCUACGGAUGAAAGCGGGGGACCUUCGGGCCUCGCGCUAUAGGGUUGGCCGAUGGCUGAUUAGCUAGUUGGUGGGGUAAAGGCCUACCAAGGCGACGAUCAGUAGCUGGUCUGAGAGGACGACCAGCCACAUGGGCACUGCGCCGCGCCUCAGCCCCCUGCGGGGGCACGCAGGGGGGAUUUUGGGACAAGGGGCGAAGGCUUGACCAAGCAGUGCCGCGUGGGGGAAGAGGGCCUCGGGUUUGUAAAGCAUUUUUGCCGGGAAAAAAACCCUUGCCCUUAAUAGGGUGGGGGGAUGCCGGUCCCGAAAAAAAAACCCCCGCCUACCUCCGUC